RNAcentral lists this ribosomal RNA (301 nucleotides) under uncultured bacterium. RNAcentral describes it as "partial 16S ribosomal RNA". It matches the Rfam family "Bacterial small subunit ribosomal RNA", at positions 509 to 807 of the family's 1533-position model. The record is from RNAcentral.
CAGCCGCCGCGGGAAUACGAAGGGGGCUAGCGUUGCUCGGAAUGACUGGGCGUAAAGGGCGCGUAGGCGGAUGGCACAGUCAGAUGUGAAAUUCCCGGGCUUAACCUGGGGGCUGCAUUUGAUACGUGUUGUCUAGAGUGAGGAAGAGGGUUGUGGAAUUCCCAGUGUAGAGGUGAAAUUCGUAGAUAUUGGGAAGAACACCGGUGGCGAAGGCGGCAACCUGGUCCUUGACUGACGCUGAGGCGCGAAAGCGUGGGGAGCAAACAGGAUUAGAUACCCCCGUAGUCCCUGUCUCUUAUAC